CCUACGGGAGGCAGCAGUGAGGAAUAUUGGUCAAUGGACGAGAGUCUGAACCAGCCAAGUAGCGUGAAGGAUGACUGCCCUAUGGGUUGUAAACUUCUUUUAUAUGGGAAUAAAAUGUUCCACGUGUGGGAUUUUGUAUGUACCAUAUGAAUAAGGAUCGGCUAACUCCGUGCCAGCAGCAGCGGUAAUACGGAGGAUCCGAGCGUUAUCCGGAUUUAUUGGGUUUAAAGGGAGCGUAGGUGGAUUGUUAAGUCAGUUGUGAAAGUUUGCGGCUCAACCGUAAAAUUGCAGUUGAAACUGGCAGUCUUGAGUACAGUAGAGGUGAGCGGAAUUCGUGGUGUAGCGGUGAAAUGCUUAGAGAUCACGAAGAACUCCGAUUGCGAAGGCAGUUCACUGGACUGCAACUGACACUGAGGCUCGAAAGUGUGGGUAUCAAACAGGAUUAGAUACCCGGGUAGUC
RNAcentral lists this ribosomal RNA (460 nucleotides) under uncultured bacterium. RNAcentral describes it as "partial 16S ribosomal RNA". It matches the Rfam family "Bacterial small subunit ribosomal RNA", at positions 338 to 795 of the family's 1533-position model. The record is from RNAcentral.